CCCUUCUCAGAAUCGCACCUGGAGAGUUUCCAGUCCACUACCAGUCUCGGCUACUGGAGGGAGAGUCAAGCAAAGGCUUACCCAUUCCAUUCUUAGCUUGGGCAGUGGCUAGCGAGUGGAAAGCAAUCUGCAACAAGU
This is a small nucleolar RNA of Ornithorhynchus anatinus (platypus), 138 nucleotides long. NCBI's taxonomy places the organism in Eukaryota, Metazoa, Chordata, Mammalia, Monotremata, Ornithorhynchidae. The record is from RefSeq and is a predicted model, not a curated record.